UAAUCUGCGAUAAGCGCCGGUAAGGUGAUAUGAACCGUUAUAACCGGCGAUACCCGAAUGGGGAAACCCAGUGUGACUCGUCACACUAUCAUUAACUGAAUCCAUAGGUUAAUGAGGCGAACCGGGGGAACUGAAACAUCUAAGUACCCCGAGGAAAAGAAAUCAACCGAGAUUCCCCCAGUAGCGGCGAGCGAACGGGGAGGAGCCCAGAGCCUGAAUCAGCAUGUGUGUUAGUGGAAGCGUCUGGAAAGGCGCGCGAUACAGGGUGACAGCCCCGUACACAAAAGCGCAUGUGCUGUGAGCUCGAUGAGUAGGGCGGGACACGUGGUAUCCUGUCUGAAUAUGGGGGGACCAUCCUCCAAGGCUAAAUACUCCUGACUGACCGAUAGUGAACCAGUACCGUGAGGGAAAGGCGAAAAGAACCCCGGCGAGGGGAGUGAAAAAGAACCUGAAACCGUGUACGUACAAGCAGUGGGAGCACCCUUCGGGGUGUGACUGCGUACCUUUUGUAUAAUGGGUCAGCGACUUAUAUUCUGUAGCAAGGUUAACCGUAUAGGGGAGCCGUAGGGAAACCGAGUCUUAACCGGGCGUUAAGUUGCAGGGUAUAGACCCGAAACCCGGUGAUCUAGCCAUGGGCAGGUUGAAGGUUGGGUAACACUAACUGGAGGACCGAACCGACUAAUGUUGAAAAAUUAGCGGAUGACCUGUGGCUGGGGGUGAAAGGCCAAUCAAACCGGGAGAUAGCUGGUUCUCCCCGAAAGCUAUUUAGGUAGCGCCUCGUGAAUUCAUCUCCGGGGGUAGAGCACUGUUUCGGCUAGGGGGCCAUCCCGGCUUACCAACCCGAUGCAAACUGCGAAUACCGGAGAAUGUUAUCACGGGAGACACACGGCGGGUGCUAACGUCCGUCGUGAAGAGGGAAACAACCCAGACCGCCAGCUAAGGUCCCAAAGUCAUGGUUAAGUGGGAAACGAUGUGGGAAGGCCCAGACAGCCAGGAUGUUGGCUUAGAAGCAGCCAUCAUUUAAAGAAAGCGUAAUAGCUCACUGGUCGAGUCGGCCUGCGCGGAAGAUGUAACGGGGCUAAACCAUGCAC
RNAcentral lists this ribosomal RNA (1091 nucleotides) under Salmonella enterica subsp. enterica serovar Virchow. RNAcentral's name for it is "partial 23S ribosomal RNA". It matches the Rfam family "Bacterial large subunit ribosomal RNA", at positions 62 to 1194 of the family's 2925-position model. Lineage: Bacteria; Pseudomonadati; Pseudomonadota; Gammaproteobacteria; Enterobacterales; Enterobacteriaceae. The record is from RNAcentral.